This 579-nucleotide long non-coding RNA is filed under the name Physcomitrium patens. RNAcentral's name for it is "long non-coding RNA (PPAT_LNC002118)". The record is from RNAcentral. Lineage: Eukaryota; Viridiplantae; Streptophyta; Bryopsida; Funariales; Funariaceae.
CGAUAGUCCGAUCUUUUGGUGCAGCUCAGCUUCGCACUACGGUGGGCAAAGGAUUGCUACCGCAUCUUCUCCUCGAGAACCUUCGUCUUGCGGACCUACUCCAGGAGCUCGAGCGUACGCGGCCACAGAGGAAAAUGUCAGGACAAGGUUUGUUUCUGGGGUUGUCACUAAGAACUUGUACGAUCUCUUAGGCGUGAGCAAAACGGCAUCUCCUAGAGAAAUUAAAGCUGCCUACAGGCUGGCGGCUCGCCGGCUACAUCCCGACGUUGUUCCAGAGGAACAGAAAAUGGAAGCCACUAAGGCCUUCUUGGAAGUGCAACAAACUUACUCAAUACUCGCUGAUCAGCAAUUGAGAGCGGCUUACGACUUGACACUUUCCAUGCAAACUUUUCAGUCUGGCGGUUUCAUCAAUAGAAGGCCCAUCUCAUAUAGCGGGAUGGAAGAGAUAACUUACUCUACUCCUUCUUGGGGUUUCACUUCUUCUCCAAUUUCCAGCAACGAUUCGUUUUCCUCCAGCAAUUUUUCAUUUAAGGGACGCAAUUGGGAGACCGAUCAGUGCUGGUGAUAAGCAUUAGAACC